Molecule: small nuclear RNA, 162 nt
Filed under: Dasypus novemcinctus (nine-banded armadillo)
Lineage: Eukaryota; Metazoa; Chordata; Mammalia; Cingulata; Dasypodidae
Description: U1 spliceosomal RNA (ENSDNOG00000037705.1)
Rfam family: U1 spliceosomal RNA
About the family: U1 is a small nuclear RNA (snRNA) component of the spliceosome (involved in pre-mRNA splicing).
Source: RNAcentral
AUACUUCUCUGGCGGGGGAGAUACCAUGAUCAUGAAGGUGGUUUUCCCAGGGAGAGGCUAAUCCAUUGCCCUCUGGGUGUGCUGACCCCUGUGAUUUCCCCCAAUGCCGGAAAAUUGACUACAUAAUUUGUAGUAAUGGGCAACUAUGUUGGCGUUUUCCUG